This 499-nucleotide ribosomal RNA is filed under the name uncultured bacterium. Its description in RNAcentral is "partial 16S ribosomal RNA". It matches the Rfam family "Bacterial small subunit ribosomal RNA", at positions 28 to 507 of the family's 1533-position model. The record is from RNAcentral.
GACGAACGCUGGCGGCGUGCCUAAUACAUGCAAGUCGAGCGAAGUUUUUCUGGUGCUUGCACUAGAAAAACUUAGCGGCGAACGGGUGAGUAACACGUAAAGAACCUGCCUCAUAGACUGGGACAACUAUUGGAAACGAUAGCUAAUACCGGAUAACAGUAUUUCUCGCAUGAGAGAUAUUUAAAAGUUGGUUAUGCUAACACUAUGAGAUGGCUUUGCGGUGCAUUAGCUAGUUGGUGGGGUAAAGGCCCACCAAGGCGACGAUGCAUAGCCGACCUGAGAGGGUGAUCGGCCACACUGGGACUGAGACACGGCCCAGCCUCCUACGGGAGGCAGCAGUAGGGAAUCUUCCGCAAAGGGCGAAAGCCUGACGGAGCAACGCCGCGUGAGUGAAGAAGGAUUUCGGUUCGUAAAGCUCUGUUGUUAGGGAAGAAUGGAUAUGUAGUAACUAUACAUGUAAGAGACGGUACCUAACCAGAAAGCCACGGCUAACUACGUG